This 1269-nucleotide long non-coding RNA is filed under the name Mytilus galloprovincialis (Mediterranean mussel). The record is from RNAcentral. Lineage: Eukaryota; Metazoa; Mollusca; Bivalvia; Mytilida; Mytilidae.
UAAAAACAAAACACCUCUGCAUAAUGUUCAUGUAAUGUUAAAAUUACAAGGUAUUUAUUAUAAAAUAACUACAAUCUUAUUUUACUGUUUCAGAUCGUGUAGAUUACUACAUGUAGCAGUUAUUCCGAUUUGACAAUGUAUAGAACAAAUACACUUGAUAAUUUAAACGAUAAAAAUAUUGAACGUUUCGUGGUACCGUUAUCAUUUCUCUGCGUCUUGUUGAUUUUUGGAAUACCAGGAAAUUUAACCGUUUUAUUCAUAUACGGUACCAAAUAUUCCAAAUGUGUCUUCAGAGUAUUCAUUACUAAUCUUGCAGUUGUGGAUCUGGUAUUCUGCAUUAUUGGCAUACCAUUUAAUAUCGCGCGUAUUGUUCAUUAUUAUACAUUCGAGGGCCGAUGGGUGUGCAAACUCUUCACAGCAAUCAUUGUAUUUGGAUUCAUGUGUUCUGCUCACCUGGUGAUGUUACUCUCAGUUCACAGAUUCAGGCAAAUCUGUUAUCCUGUUAGAGCGCAAAUUUCUCUUCGGAACGUCCGGUAUUUUAUUAUAGCCUGUGUGGCUAUCGGAUUGCUGCUUUCAUUUCCUCAAGCAGUAUUGAUUGAUAUUGAUGAGUUACAGGUAGAAAAUAACAUUACAGUUCACAUCUGUCCUAUAACCGCUGCGCAUCCUUCAAAGUUCUCGAUUGUAUACAGUACUUUCAAUGUGUGUUUGUUUUCGAUUUAUACAAUAGUCUUAUUUGUACUAUAUUCGCUGAUUGCAAGAAAAAUGUACUUGCAACGUCUAAAAAGAAUACGUCCAUAUACACAAACAUCUGAAAGCAAUAUUUCGAACAAAAUGACAAAGAUUGCUUUCACUAUUGCAGUGGUGUUUGCAUUGAGUUAUAUUCCUCUUUUUCUACUUAAAGUGGCUAAGCAUUGGUUUAAUGAGAAUGACAUCAGCGAGGUCGAGUUUGAAUUAUUGAAAAUUGCUGAAAGAUUUUACAUCAUCAACCACGUUGCAAAUCCGUUCAUAUAUGCUGUGUUUGACAAUCGUUUUAGACGAACUGUGAGGAUACUUGUAUCUUUCAAAAAGCAUGGAAGACAUGAUGAACAAUAUAAAAUAGACCACUCAACUGAAAAAACAACAUCAACGACAGUGUUGUAAAUGACUCUAUCUAAUCACUCUUACAUUAUAUGAACAUGAUAGAAUGCAUGUAAAAGCAUUUAUAACAAACGUACGUAUACAAUAAAGUGUUUGUAAUUUUCUGCAUUGACGCAAUAUAGCAGCCAGACG